CCUACCUGGUUGAUCCUGCCAGUAGUGAUAUGCCUGUCUCAAAGAUUAAGCCAUGCAUGUCUGAGUACAGACCGAUCUAAGGUGAAACCGCGAAUGGCUCAUUAAAUCAGUCAUAAUUCCUUGGAUAGUGAUAAAACUUCCCCGGAUAACUGUGGAAAAUCCAGAGCUAAUACGUGCGACUGAGUUCCGACCUUGGCGCGAGCCUCGGGAAGAACGCAUUUAUUAGAUUCAAAACUGACCGGUGUACUCUGCGGGAUGCGCCGAUCGUCAAAUGUUUGAUGACUCCGGAUAACUUAGCCGAGCGCUACGGUCUUUAGUACCGGCGCCGUAUCUUUCAAGUGUCUGCCUUAUCAGCUUUCGAUUGUAGGUUAAACGCCUACAAUGGCUGUAACGGGUAACGGGGAAUCAGGGUUCGAUUCCGGAGAGGGAGCCUGAGAAACGGCUACCACAUCUAAGGAAGGCAGCAGGCACGCAAAUUACCCACUCCCAGCUCGGGGAGGUAGUGACGAAAAAUAACGAUGCGAGACUCUUCCGAGGCCUCGCAAUCGGAAUGAGUUCAUUUUAAAACUUUGGACGAGGAUCCAUUGGAGGGCAAGUCUGGUGCCAGCAGCCGCGGUAAUUCCAGCUCCAAUAGCGUAUAUUAAAGUUGCUGCGGUUAAAAAGCUCGUAGUUGGAUCUCCUAGAUCCAUUUAGUGAUCGAGUCGCUCGUUGAGCUAGCGUCCUUCGUCGGUCGCCGGAACUAAGGUGGACUUUUCGCGUCCUCGGGUUGUGCAUUCGCUCGCGUUUGUCGAUCAGGGGCCGAGAAUCUAUCCUAUUUCGGAGGACGGUUGGUCGUUGUCUUCGGGUAUCGCUCUUUCGCUUGUGGUACAAUUAAAAUUUUGUCGGCUCGCUCGGAGUGCUCUUUACCGAGUGUUCCAGGGUGGCCGACACGUUCACUUUGAAAAAAUUAGAGUGCUUAAAGCGGGCGCAUACGCUGCCUGAAUGUCUGUGCAUGGAAUGAAGUAACAGGACCUCGAUUCUGUUGUUUUUGUCGGUUUUAUUGAACCGAGGUAAUGAUUAAAAGGGACAGACGGUGGCAUUAGUAUUGCGGCGCUAGAGGUGAAAUUCUUGGACCGCUGCAAGACUAACUACUGCGAAAGCAUUUGCCGAGAAUGUUUUCAUUAAUCAAGAACGAAAGUUAGAGGAUCGAAGGCGAUCAGAUACCGCCCUAGUUCUAACCCUAAACUAUGCUAACUAGCGAUCCGCCGGAGUCAUUCCCACGACCCGGCGGGAAGCCCCAGGGAAACCAAAGUUUUUGAGUUCCGGGGGAAGUAUGGUUGCAAAGCUGAAACUUAAAGGAAUUGACGGAAGGGCACCACCAGGAGUUGGAGCCUGCGGCUUAAUUUGACUCAACACGGGAAACCUCACCAGGCCCGGACAUCAUAAGGAUUGACAGGUUGAGAGCUCUUUCUCGAUUUGAUGGGUGGUGGUGCAUGGCCGUUCUUAGUUGGUGGAGUGAUCUGUCUGGUUGAUUCCGAUAACGAACGAGACUCUACCCUACUAACUAGUCGGCGGAUCGUAACCCUGAGAUGGUUAGUUUGUAUAGGUCGGUUUGUCCUAGCCACGAGCGGUAGUUUUCGGUGCGUAUUUCUCGCGCUUGUGGGUUCGCGCUCGCUUGUGUGUGGAGAUGCGUACUUGGCUAUUUGUGAGUGACGAAGCUGCCGUCUGAUUACUGCUACUGCUGGGGGCGUCCGUCGCAAUGCAUCUUCUUAGAGGGAUCAGCGGCGUUUAGCCGACGAGAAAGAGCAAUAACAGGUCUGUGAUGCCCUUAGAUGUUCUGGGCCGCACGCGCGCUACAAUGUAGAGAUCAGCGUGCUUUCCCCUUCCGAAAGGAACGGGUAACCCGUUGAAACCCCUACCCGAUUGGGAUUGGGGAUUGCAAAUAUUUCCCAUAAACGAGGAAUUCCCAGUAAGCGCGAGUCAUUAACUCGCGCUGAUUACGUCCCUGCCCUUUGUACACACCGCCCGUCGCUACUACCGAUUGAAUGAUUCAGUGAGGGCAUCGGACUGGCGCCUUCGGUUUAGUAACAUAGACCUUAGGCUGACGGAAAGAUGUCCGAACUUGAUCAUUUAGAGGAAGUAAAAGUCGUAACAAGGUUUCCGUAGUGAACCUGCGGAAGGAUCAUUAAA
Molecule: ribosomal RNA, 2169 nt
Filed under: Eurycope inermis
Lineage: Eukaryota; Metazoa; Arthropoda; Malacostraca; Isopoda; Munnopsidae
Description: SSU rRNA
Rfam family: Eukaryotic small subunit ribosomal RNA
Source: RNAcentral